This is a long non-coding RNA of Strongylocentrotus purpuratus (purple sea urchin), 866 nucleotides long. RefSeq lists it as uncharacterized. NCBI's taxonomy places the organism in Eukaryota, Metazoa, Echinodermata, Echinoidea, Camarodonta, Strongylocentrotidae. The record is from RefSeq and is a predicted model, not a curated record. The transcript has 2 exons.
ACAUGACAAUCGGGAUUCCAGAUCCAGACGCUUGGUUUACUGUACCAAGCUUCUGUCCUAAAGAGAUGGACACAUUCAAGACACGCGAGGAGCGAUCUGCACCAAACCUGCCAAAUCUAGAUUUCUUCCACCUGCCACAGUUCUACUAAAGAACAGCAGGGGCUCCGUUAAAACACAAUCAUGACAAUAAUCACCCCCAAGUCCGACCAACAAGAACACUCCCUUUUAACCACCGACUUCAUGAUCAAAUGAAUUUUAUUGGAACCGAUUAUGAUUUAUGAUUGGAAGUGAACGUUAUUCCCUUUAGAUAUGCAGUAUCAACAAAAUUGCGCUAUUUUCAGAUUAAAAUAUUUCAAAAUAUUCUGUGGGUAAAUAAAUAUUUGAAAUUGAUAUGUAUAUUAAUUUCUGAUCAGUGUUUUUUGUGGAUUAAAUAGUGUUAAAUCAAUCGCACAUUUGUUCUGAGAUUAGUCUUGUAACCCAUCAAUUUAUUUUUUAUUUUUCAGGACCACACUUUUUAUAUUUGGAUGUUUUUCUUUGGGGGAAGGGCGAGAUUUCUAACACUUGACUUAUGUUACUUUAUACGCAUAAUAUAUUCUCUACAAAAUUUAAACAUGGUAGAAUAUCUUUUGAAUUAUUUAAGAAACAGUUGAAAUAUUAUAAUGACCUUGAGCGAAUAAUCUAUUCAAAACCAAAACAAUUUUAUUUAAUUUCUUGAUAAAUGAAAAGAUGUACAAUUGAAUAGAAACAUGUUAUAACACUUUUGUAUUACCAUGUACUGCUUAUUUUCAUCACAUCAAUUAUUUUGUAGUGUGUACUUUUGUUAAUUCUGAAUAAAUUUUCUUUGAAAAAAAAAAUCAUCAUCAUGA